UCUUAGCAAACAUAAACAUAAUGAACUUCAACAAAUAUUUCGCUUUCUUGGCCAUUUUGGUCUUGUGCAUUUUGGGUCAACAAGCUACCGAAGCUCAUCAUCAUCAUGGUUUUGGAAGAAUCGGACAUGAAUUGGACAAAGGUGUGAAAAAAGUUGCCAAAGUAGCUUCCGAUGUUAGUAAAGCUAAAACUGUGAUUGAGGCUGGUUCUGCUAUUGCCGGUGCUGUCGCAGCUGCCUAAUUUUAGGAGACUAAAUGGAAUAUUUCUUUUUGAUUUGAUGUAUAGAAAAACUAAUAAAAUAAAAAACUAAAUGCAAUUAGAUAUUGCAUAGAAAAAAUUA
Long non-coding RNA from Calliphora vicina (urban bluebottle blowfly), 339 nucleotides. RefSeq lists it as uncharacterized. The transcript has 2 exons. NCBI's taxonomy places the organism in Eukaryota, Metazoa, Arthropoda, Insecta, Diptera, Calliphoridae. The record is from RefSeq and is a predicted model, not a curated record.